CAGAAAUAGGGGAAUAUGCCAAUCAGGUAGAAAAUCUCAAGGAGGAAUUAGCAAGCAAAUUAGUGGAUGGGCAAAGAUUGCUGGGAGAGAAAGAUGGUUUGCUUGUGCAGAUAAAUGACCUGGAACUGGUGGUGGAGUCUCUGCGUAGCCACAAAAGUGAAUUGGAAGGGCAUAUAAAUAGUAAAGUUGAUGAGAGCAACCGGUUAAGUGAGGAAAACAAGCAUUUGCAGAGCAAGAUUUCUGAAUUGGAGAGAGUAUUGACAGAAAGGAUGGAUGAGCUCUUUGCCAUCCAAAAGAUAUUGGAUGAUGCAAAUGUUGAAGCUUCCACCCAAAUCGAUGCACUGAAUGAGCAGGUUAAAAAUUUGAGACAGGAGAGGGACUCCUUACAGUCUGAGAAAAGCCAACUGGAAUUACAAAUGGAGAGGAGAAUAGAAGAUUUUUCAGCAAAUUUGGCUCAAGCAGAGGAUCAGAAUUCUGAAUUACAGAAGAGGUUGGAAGAUGGAGAGAUUGAAGCAUCUGCUCGAUUUGCAGCCUUAACUGAACAAGUUAACAAUCUCCAAGAGCAGUUGAAUUCUUUGUCUGCUCUAAAAAUUGAAUCUGAUGCCCUGCUUGAGAAGAAAACUGCAGAAAUAGUGGAAUAUGCCAAUCAGGUAGAAAAUCUCAAGGAGGAAUUAGCAAGCAAAUUAGUGGAUGGGCAAAGAUUGCUGGGAGAGAAAGAUGGUUUGCUUGUGCAGAUAAAUGACCUGGAACUGGUGGUGGAGUCUCUGCGUAACCACAAAAGUGAAUUGGAAGGGCAUAUAAAUAGUAAAGUUGAUGAGAGCAACCGGUUAAGUGAGGAAAACAAGCAUUUGCAGAGCAAGAUUUCUGAAUUGGAGAGAGUAUUGACAGAAAGGAUGGAUGAGCUCUCUGCCAUCCAAAAGAUAUUGGAUGAUGCAAAUGUUGAAGCUUCCACCCAAAUCGAUGCACUGAAUGAGCAGGUUAAAAUUUGAGACAGGAGAGGGACUCCUUACAGUCUGGAAAAGCCAACUGGAAUUACAAAUGGAGAGGAGAAUAGAAGAUUUUUCAGCAAAUUUGGCUCAAGCAGAGGAUCAGAAUUCUGAAUUACAGAAGAGGUUGGAAGAUGGAGAGAUUGAAGCAUCUGCUCGAUUAGCAGCCUUAACUGAACAAGUUAACAAUCUCCAAGAGCAGUUGAAUUCUUUGUCUGCUCUAAAAAUUGAAUCUGAUGCCCUGCUUGAGAAGAAAACUGCAGAAAUAGUGGAAUAUGCCAAUCAGGUAGAAAAUCUCAAGGAGGAAUUAGCAAGCAAAUUAGUGGAUGGGCAAAGAUUGCUGGGAGAGAAGAUGGUUUGCUUGUGCAGAUAAAUGACCUGGAACUGGUGGUGGAGUCUCUGCGUAACCACAAAAGUGAAUUGGAAGGGCAUAUAAAUAGUAAAGUUGAUGAGAGCAACCGGUUAAGUGAGGAAAACAAGCAUUUGCAGAGCAAGAUUUCUGAAUUGGAGAAGUAUUGACAGAAAGGAUGGAU
This 1519-nucleotide long non-coding RNA is filed under the name Coffea arabica (coffee). Its description in RNAcentral is "long non-coding RNA (CARA_LNC006130)". Lineage: Eukaryota; Viridiplantae; Streptophyta; Magnoliopsida; Gentianales; Rubiaceae. The record is from RNAcentral.